AGUGAACGCUGGCGGUAGGCCUAACACAUGCAAGUCGAACGGCAGCACAGUAAGAGCUUGCUCUUACGGGUGGCGAGUGGCGGACGGGUGAGGAAUACAUCGGAAUCUACUUUUUCGUGGGGGAUAACGUAGGGAAACUUACGCUAAUACCGCAUACGACCUACGGGUGAAAGCAGGGGAUCUUCGGACCUUGCGCGAUUGAAUGAGCCGAUGUCGGAUUAGCUAGUUGGCGGGGUAAAGGCCCACCAAGGCGACGAUCCGUAGCUGGUCUGAGAGGAUGAUCAGCCACACUGGAACUGAGACACGGUCCCGACUCCUACGGGAGGCAGCAGUGGGGAAUAUUGGACAAUGGGCGCAGGCCUGAUCCAGCCAUACCGCGUGGGUGAAGAAGGCCUUCGGGUUGUAAAGCCCUUUUGUUGGGAAAGAAAAGCAGCAGGUUAAUACCCCGCUGUUCUGACGGUACCCAAAGAAUAAGCACCGGCUAACUUCGUG
This 492-nucleotide ribosomal RNA is filed under the name uncultured bacterium. Its description in RNAcentral is "partial 16S ribosomal RNA". It matches the Rfam family "Bacterial small subunit ribosomal RNA", at positions 29 to 507 of the family's 1533-position model. The record is from RNAcentral.